Molecule: ribosomal RNA, 253 nt
Filed under: uncultured bacterium
Lineage: Bacteria
Description: partial 16S ribosomal RNA
Rfam family: Bacterial small subunit ribosomal RNA
Source: RNAcentral
UACGUAAGGGGCGAGCGUUGUUCGGAUUGACUGGGUGUAAAGGGUCUGUAGGCGGUUCUGUCAGUCGGACGUGAAAGCCCCCCGCUCAACGGGGGAAUGGCGCCCGAUACUGCGGAACUUGAGUAUCGGAGAGGUGAGUAGAAUUCACGGUGUAGCGGUGAAAUGCGUAGAUAUCGUGAGGAAUACCGGUGGCGAAGGCGGCUCACUGGCCGAAUACUGACGCUCAGAGACGAAGGCGUGGGGAGCAAACAGG